This 497-nucleotide ribosomal RNA is filed under the name uncultured bacterium. RNAcentral's name for it is "partial 16S ribosomal RNA". It matches the Rfam family "Bacterial small subunit ribosomal RNA", at positions 28 to 507 of the family's 1533-position model. The record is from RNAcentral.
GAUGAACGCCGGCGGCGUGCCUAAUACAUGCAAGUCGAGCGAACAGACGAGGAGCUUGCUCCUCUGACGUUAGCGGCGGACGGGUGAGUAACACGUGGAUAACCUACCUAUAAGACUGGGAUAACUUCGGGAAACCGGAGCUAAUACCGGAUAAUAUAUUGAACCGCAUGGUUCAAUAGUGAAAGACGGUUUUGCUGUCACUUAUAGAUGGAUCCGCGCCGCAUUAGCUAGUUGGUAAGGUAACGGCUUACCAAGGCAACGAUGCGUAGCCGACCUGAGAAGGUGAUCGGCCACACUGGAACUGAGACACGGUCCAGACUCCUACGGGAGGCAGCAGUAGGGAAUCUUCCGCAAUGGGCGAAAGCCUGACGGAGCAACGCCGCGUGAGUGAUGAAGGUCUUCGGAUCGUAAAACUCUGUUAUUAGGGAAGAACAAAUGUGUAAGUAACUAUGCACGUCUUGACGGUACCUAAUCAGAAAGCCACGGCUAACUACGUG